GGGUGAGUAACACGUGGGUGAUCUGCCCUGCACUUCGGGAUAAGCCUGGGAAACUGGGUCUAAUACCGGAUAGGAGCCAUUUUUAGUGUGAUGGUUGGAAAGUUUUUCGGUGUAGGAUGAGCUCGCGGCCUAUCAGCUUGUUGGUGGGGUAAUGGCCUACCAAGGCGGCGACGGGUAGCCGGCCUGAGAGGGUGGACGGCCACAUUGGGACUGAGACACGGCCCAG
This 226-nucleotide ribosomal RNA is filed under the name uncultured Actinomycetales bacterium. RNAcentral describes it as "partial 16S ribosomal RNA". It matches the Rfam family "Bacterial small subunit ribosomal RNA", at positions 104 to 334 of the family's 1533-position model. The record is from RNAcentral. Lineage: Bacteria; Bacillati; Actinomycetota; Actinomycetes; Actinomycetales.